This 254-nucleotide ribosomal RNA is filed under the name uncultured bacterium. Its description in RNAcentral is "partial 16S ribosomal RNA". It matches the Rfam family "Bacterial small subunit ribosomal RNA", at positions 524 to 776 of the family's 1533-position model. The record is from RNAcentral.
GACGUAGGGCGCGAGCGUUGUCCGGAUUUAUUGGGCGUAAAGAGCUCGUAGGCGCUUGUCGCGUCGACUGUGAAAACCCGCGGCUCAACCGCGGGCCUGCAUUCAUAUCGGGCAGGCUAGAGUUCGGUAGGGGAGACUGGAAUUCCUGGUGUAGCGGUGAAAUGCGCAGAUAUCAGGAGGAACACCGAUGGCGAAGGCAGGUCUCUGGGCAUUAACUGACGCUGAGGUAGCGAAAGCAUGGGGGAGCGAACAGG